RNAcentral lists this ribosomal RNA (493 nucleotides) under uncultured bacterium. Its description in RNAcentral is "partial 16S ribosomal RNA". It matches the Rfam family "Bacterial small subunit ribosomal RNA", at positions 32 to 507 of the family's 1533-position model. The record is from RNAcentral.
AACGCUGGCGGCGUGCCUAAUACAUGCAAGUCGAGCGAACCGAUAAGGAGCUUGCUCCUUUGACGUUAGCGGCGGACGGGUGAGUAACACGUGGGUAACCUACCUAUAAGACUGGGAUAACUUCGGGAAACCGUAGCUAAUACCGGAUAACAUUUGGAACCGCAUGGUUCUAAAGUGAAAGAUGGUUUUGCUAUCACUUAUAGAUGGACCCGCGCCGUAUUAGCUAGUUGGUAAGGUAACGGCUUACCAAGGCGACGAUACGUAGCCGACCUGAGAGGGUGAUCGGCCACACUGGAACUGAGACACGGUCCAGACUCCUACGGGAGGCAGCAGUAGGGAAUCUUCCGCAAUGGGCGAAAGCCUGACGGAGCAACGCCGCGUGAGUGAUGAAGGGUUUCGGCUCGUAAAACUCUGUUAUUAGGGAAGAACAAAUGUGUAAGUAACUGUGCACGUCUUGACGGUACCUAAUCAGAAAGCCACGGCUAACUACGUG